GCUCCGAGCCGCCGGGAUGGCGGAGCGGCAGGGCAGGGUUCGGCUCCGCGCCGCCGCCGGGAUGGCGGAGCGGCUGGGCCGGGCUACCGGGAUGGCGGAGCGGCCGCGCUCGGCUCCGCACUGCCCUGCUUCACCCGUCCGUGCUGCCGCACUAAGUGCCUUGAAAUAACCGCGGAGCCACCGGCCAGCCCGCUCCAAACCCACAGCCACCCCCGUUUCCCCCCUUUUUUUGGUAUAUACUCGCAGUCCGUCUGUGACCAAAACUACCAAAUUUCAGUAAAAGGCACGCCCAGGGCCUCCACGGAGCAGCGUUCCUACAACGCCCCGGUGCCAGCGCGGUUGGGAAAUGAGGCGCGCACGUCUCCCGACCAGCCCUACAGCUACGUCAAACAUUGCACAAUUCUGCCAUGAAUAUUCACUUCAUUUCUUUUCCUUCAAAGAUGAAGUGGUUUUAGCCAUGCUCAAACCUCGUAUUUGCUUUUCACGGGCAUUUGCGUAAUCAAGUUACAUUGGCACAAGCGUUUGUACAAGCCAGAUUUCAAAAUCUGACAUUGAAGUAUUUGUAAGAUCAAUUUUGAUCCUUUAUCGAACCCUGCCAUGGGUUCAUUACCUGAUGCAUCCCCUGAAAGCUGCUUGAUCUAAACCCAUCUCUAGAAGAGCCAAUCUCUAGGACAUUAAAACCAAACAAAACUCGAGGACAUCUGCACAGAUGGGUUCCUACACUGACAGCAAGCACAGACCAAGUUCACACACAAAGUUCCAUGUCGUGCUCAGAAAUACUACAGAAGCAUUUGCAGUUUUCUGGUGGAGAUACACCACAACUUCGAUGAAGGAUCAGCUUCUUUUUGUGAUUAUUCAGCAAAGGAGAUUUUUUUCUUUGAAACCCUCAGGUCCAACAGAUUUUAACCCUUGUGUCUCCUGAUGGGCACUUGUGAAGGGGUAGGAGUGUGCAGCAGGGCAGAGAGACAGAAAGCUGGAGCUGACCCCCACGGGUGAGGACAAGGGCAUCGUCUCUCCAGGCCACCUCUCUCCUGCAGCACGGUGCCCCCAGUUCCUCAGCCACAGCUGUGCUCUGACCUCACUGCCGGGGUCACAGAGCGCAGAAGGGAGCGAGUGCUGCCAUGAGAAGCACUAAUGAAUCCUUUUUGACACGCUGCCGGAGCUGUGUCACCUCCCCAAAUGGCUGAGGGGUGACACCCCGACCCCCGUGGUCCAUCUGCUGCACCAAAUGUAAGUGCAGGACCUGUGUCAGCACGGAGGGGAAGGAAUGGACCAAAUACCUCCUCCAGAUCCCUUCCUUCCCACCACACACUGUGGCUUUAGUGGAGGAGUAACUCUGAGAUGUUGAGGAUUCUUCUGUCUGCUGAAGUCAACCAGGGACAACCAGGAGUAUUGCACCAGGACCGACCCCUGCCAUAUGCUGGGGAUUAUCUCCAAGGGAUAGACACAGCACAGGCGUACAAAGGUAGCUGGUGCAGAAGAGAUGGAUCUGGAAUCAUUAUGUCUAAUAUAGACUAUAAAGGGGCAGUGUAACUAGCAGUACCACCAAAGUGUCCCCAUAGCUUGAGCCAAGAUUAGGCUUUGGAGACUUGAUUCCUGCAGGCCAAAAGUCUAUGACCUCUGGGCAGCCCUGCAGCACUGGUACACUCCUGGACAAUUCUCCCUCUCCAGCUCAGUGCUUGAGCCUCUGGUACAGCCAUUCUCCUCCAGUUCAGACCUCCCAGCAGACACCAACACCAGGUCACCCUGCUCUCCUCACUCUUUCUUCAGUGAUUACCCAAGGUGGUCAGCUGUUCUGUAAGCAGUUUUUGUUCUGUGCAAUAGAGAAGGGUGAAUGUGCUCUAUCAUGGAUGUUUCUAGAAAGGUCCAUUGUUUCAAGCAUGCUCUGACAAGAGCUACAGCAAAAAAGAACCUGGAGCUGUUUAAAUGCAUGCAUCAGAACUUUGGAUUCAUGACUUAACACUUUAAGUUCAUAGAAAUGACACAAAACAUGGUGAUUAUUCACAAAGGGUUUGGUCACUUUUUUGCUUGUGUUAACAGUGGGAUCCACAUAAAAGAACUGGGACCUCGUUUAGCUUGGCAAUAUUUAGUGUCUCAUGUGCUAGAGGAGCCAUGCUUGUCUCACACAGUGAAGAAUUCAGAGGGCUGAGCUCACAUAUAAGGGUUUUCUUGAUAAAAAUUUUCCUUUACAUUCUCAAAUGAGGUCAUGUUCUAGGAGUCUAAUGCUCUCCCAUUUUAACUUGAACUAAGCUUGAGGCAAACAGAGGACUGUAUAUGAUUUUUAAAUGAUUUAAACACGGCCUUUCAGUAUGACUAUACUCACUGCAGCAGGCCAGAGUGCCAUUCUCACGAGCAGCAUAUUUGCUUCUGCAGCAAAUUUCACAUAAACCAGGAAAAAACACAACCCCCAAACCAAUCAAGAUCUGUAUAUAACUCAUCUGAAAGGAACGCUGGGGGUUUGCUACUUCCUCUUACCUUCAUACUCGGCAACUAUUCAAAAACACAGUUCCAGGAACACAAGAACUAAUGAAGACUGCUUUCCUAUGGAUUUAUGCCUGUGAUUAAUUACUUUGUGUCUAAGGAGAAGUGAAGCAUGAGAAGCAGUUAAACUGAGAAACAUUAUGAAAGCAAUACGGAGAGAAGCUGAUUUUACAGACUGGUCUCUGCAAAGUCAGACCAGUUGUAGGCACCCAACAGUUCUGCAUGGUGACUGUGCAAGUUUCAGCAAUACCAUUUCUUAUACCUGCUGAGCCAAGAUAUCAGGCUUGUAAGAGCACAUUAGAUUUGGCAUAAGUUUUAAGAAUGUAAUAAAACAGGGUAUAUAUUUCUGUUUAAUGCUUAACUCCACAAAUGCCUACUUACCUAAAAGCUUUUCUGCUAAGCCAAGUAGACUAUAAAUUUUUUAAUUAGGCACAGCUUCCUCAGUGAAGGAAUGCACCCAGCUAGAUGCUUUUUACAGUAAUAAAGUUAUAAAUACACACAUGUGCAUUUGGCAUACACAGUUUAACAGUUUUGAACACGUUAUACUGAUUCCUAGCUGUAACAUGUAGACUGAUGCACACUAAGGAGGUGGGGAAGAGCAUUUUAAAGAUAUCUUAACAUGAAAUUGCUCAUUUAAAGAAAAUGGAGGUUGUGGGGCAGAGGGGAACAUGCACAAUUACUCAAACCUGUGGGUUUUCAACACAGUUCAGAGCAUUUUUGGAAGUUUCCCAAAGGAACAGAAGAUAUUUAGUUAUUCCAAUCAAUGCUGAUGUUCCCUUUAUAAAACUGAAACUGCCUGGCUCUGUUUUACCCUAAGGCAUUUGCUCUCCAGUUCCAUGGUUCACACACAGAAAAGAAUCAAGAAAAAACACCUGCAGAUCUAUAAUUUUUGAAAGAAUUUCUAAUACUACGACAAACACUACCAGAUAAGCCAGCUUUAUUUCACUGUGAGGUACAACAGUAUUUAUCUAUAUUUGGAUCCUCCUGAAUCAGUGUUUAUUGCUGCAAUACCUAUGAGUGAUCUCUCAAUCAAGACACGCAGCAUGGGCUUCUCUGUGUUCCGGCUGUAUCCUACAGACUGAACUUGCCAGUGCCUAUAUGCUAUUUUGUCCUUUAGCAUGAAGUUAUUAAUCAAAGUUUAACUACAGCAACUACAACUUACCUUAUGCCAAAUUUAAUACAAGGAAACAUCUUCUAGCUCACUGAAGACUCACACCAAGUGCGUGGUUUUGGAAGAUGGGGCCAAUAUACAUUCAACUGUUGAGUUUGCAAAAUUUAGCUAAAUGGUAUCUUUCCUCUAAGCAGAUGGUUCUAGAACACAUGAGCUCAAUGGUCUCCUUAUUCCUGAAGUGAUACUCAAAUGUUCUUAACACCCCUUUGGCACCCCCACCUCCAAACCCCACUCCAGGUCUGAGAAUCUGCAUCAUAGGUAAGGUCACAGGCAGAGCCUGCCACACACAGCAAGGUUCUCUUUCCUUGUUCAGCAACUUGCUUGGCUCAGAUCUACAAAAAACAACCACCUUACUGACAGAUGUCUUCCCCUGGCAAGCCAUGGCCAACACAUUCUAGAAACCAAUCUGUAUUUUCCCCCUUCCCUGAACCUUGCUAGUUUGGGGCUUUUCCCCAGUAGCAACUUCUGAUGGUAAACAUUUGUUAUUUUAUAAUAAAAUUAUAGGCUAUACUCAAAUUAUCCCUUUCCCCCAGAAAAAAUCUUCUAGGAAUAAGCUUAGUUAUAUACACUCUAAACCGAAUGUGCUGGAAGAAAAGACCACCAUCCAUGUUGUAUUACAUUUUUUGUUAUUAAAAAAAGCCAAGAGGAAACCCUUGGUAAGAGUGGAGCAUAUUAAUUAUGACAAGACAUCAUGACAUACCAACCAGUGAGACUUAAAGGCCGCUAAUAACACUUUUUGUAGCAAUUAGUGCAAGACAGUUAUCCGAUAUAAACAAAUAUUUGAUGGUAGACUUCAAUAAUAAACAAUUCACUUGAUGACAUUUACAUAUAAAUACACAUAAAUAAAACCUGCAUCAUUUAGGCUUGUAGUUAACAAAAAGUAUGGUCUGAAAUGAAUUAAAUGUAAUUGUGCCUAGCUAGAUCAAAGCUUGUCCUAUAAUGAUACUCGAGUGUGUGGGGUAUGAAAAGCACAAAUGUACAAUUCUCAAUUUAGUAAAGUACUACUCUAUGAAACAGAAUCAUGAAAACAGCUCUUACAUUUUAAUGCAAAGUAUAAAAUUGUAUAUUUACAUUUACAUACACUUUACUGAACUACAUUGGGUAGCUCAUGGUAAAAAACAUCCCUUUUUGAAAAUUUUGCAAAAAAUACAUCAACUGCAGAUAUGAUCAAAAGUUACUAAGUUAGCAGCUGACAUAACAUCUGUAGUAAAAAUAUAUUUUAGGAAAAUACCUGGAAAAAUCUAAAAACUAAUAAACACUUUAAAACUAUUUUUGAAGUAAAAAUUGUAGCAAAACCCAGAAGAAGCUAGCAAGGAUAACAAGAACUAUUGCAUAUUGCUCUUUAAGAGCCAUGUAGCGACUUGAAACAGAAGCAGCAGGUAUGGUAGGAGAUUUGUGGUGUAACAAAGUGGAAACCGUAGGAUAACAGGAAACCAGUUAUCUAACUUCUCUGUUUAUUACCAUUUUUAUGGGAGAAGUAUAAGAAGAUAAGAGAAUCCCUCUCCCUGAGGAUAUCCUCCAUCAAAGGCUAAAACAAAUUGGUAAAAGGAACCCAAUUUCAAGAGCCUUGGAUCCCCAAUGUAGAAAUAUUUACCAUAUGUACUUACAGUUCAGUGGACAAUAAAUCAGAUUAUUACACUACAAGUUGCAGGUUAACUUUAAGAGUUAACACUAUAUUGCAAUAUGAAGUGCUUCUUAAUAUAUGUAUCUAUAUAAUAUACAGACAUCUGUAAAAUACUCGUGCAGAUUUGAUAGAACAAACUGUGGAAAUUGCUUUCUCAAGUCUUUUCUCCCAUUAACAGAUCUUUACCUCCACACAAGGAGGUUCAGGAUU
Long non-coding RNA from Taeniopygia guttata (zebra finch), 5486 nucleotides. RefSeq lists it as uncharacterized. The record is from RefSeq and is a predicted model, not a curated record. Lineage: Eukaryota; Metazoa; Chordata; Aves; Passeriformes; Estrildidae.